UAGCCGUAAACGAUACUCGCUAGGUGUCGGCCACGGUGCGACCGUUGUCGGUGCCGUAGGGAAGCCGUGAAGCGAGCCACCUGGGAAGUACGGUCGCAAGGCUGAAACUUAAAGGAAUUGGCGGGGGAGCACAACAACGGGUGGAGCUUGCGGUUUAAUUGGAUUCAACGCCGGAAAUCUUACCGGGACCGACAGCAACAUGAAGGCCAAGCUGAAGACUUUGCCGGAUUAGCUGAGAGGAGGUGCAUGGCGUAGUCGUGU
This 261-nucleotide ribosomal RNA is filed under the name uncultured archaeon. RNAcentral describes it as "partial 16S ribosomal RNA". It matches the Rfam family "Archaeal small subunit ribosomal RNA", at positions 748 to 1009 of the family's 1478-position model. The record is from RNAcentral.